RNAcentral lists this ribosomal RNA (497 nucleotides) under uncultured bacterium. RNAcentral describes it as "partial 16S ribosomal RNA". It matches the Rfam family "Bacterial small subunit ribosomal RNA", at positions 28 to 507 of the family's 1533-position model. The record is from RNAcentral.
GGUGAACGCUGGCGGCGUGCCUAAUACAUGCAAGUCGAGCGAACAGACGAGGAGCUUGCUCCUUCGACGUUAGCGGCGGACGGGUGAGUAACACGUAGGUAACCUACCUAUAAGACUGGGAUAACUUCGGGAAACCGGAGCUAAUACCGGAUAAUAUUUCGAACCGCAUGGUUCGAUAGUGAAAGAUGGCUUUGCUAUCACUUAUAGAUGGACCUGCGCCGUAUCAGCUAGUUGGUAAGGUAACGGCUUACCAAGGCAACGAUACGUAGCCGACCUGAGAGGGUGAUCGGCCACACUGGAACUGAGACACGGUCCAGACUCCUACGGGAGGCAGCAGUAGGGAAUCUUCCGCAAUGGGCGAAAGCCUGACGGAGCAACGCCGCGUGAGUGAUGAAGGUCUUCGGAUCGUAAAACUCUGUUAUUAGGGAAGAACAAACGUGUAAGUAACUGUGCACGUCUUGACGGUACCUAAUCAGAAAGCCACGGCUAACUACGUG